Molecule: ribosomal RNA, 407 nt
Filed under: uncultured bacterium
Lineage: Bacteria
Description: partial 16S ribosomal RNA
Rfam family: Bacterial small subunit ribosomal RNA
Source: RNAcentral
AUUGAACGCUGGCGGCAGGCCUAACACAUGCAAGUCGAGCGGAGCGGCGGACGGGUGAGUAAUGCCUAGGAAUCUGCCUGGUAGUGGGGGAUAACUUCAGGAAACGGGCGCUAAUACCGCAUCCUAUCAGCUGAGCCUAGUUGGGAUUAUCUAGUUGGUGGGGUAAAGGCCUACCAAGGCGACGAUCCGUAACUGGUCUGAGAGGAUGAUCAGUCACACUGGAACUGAGAACCGGUCCAGACUCCUACGGGAGGCAGAAGGGGGGAAUCUUGGAAAAUGGGCGAAAGCCUGAUCCAGCAAUGCCGGGGGUGUGAAGAAGUUCUUCGGAUUGUAAAGCACUUUAAGUUGGGAGGCGGUACCAACAGAAUAAGCACCGGCUAACUUCGUGCCAGCAGCCGCGGUAAUUC